Molecule: non-coding RNA, 73 nt
Organism: Picea glauca (white spruce)
Lineage: Eukaryota; Viridiplantae; Streptophyta; Pinopsida; Pinales; Pinaceae
Source: Rfam
GGGUUGGUAGCUCAGUGGAUUGGAUCUCAAAGUUCCAGACCAUGAAGUCAAGGGUUCAAUCCCUUCUAGCCCA